UGGGGUGACUGCGUACCUUUUGUAUAAUGGGUCAGCGACUUACAUUCAGUGGCAAGCUUAACCGAAUAGGGAAGGCGCAGCGAAAGCGAGUCCGAAUAGGGCGAAUUAGUCGCUGGGUGUAGACCCGAAACCAAGCGAUCUAUCCAUGGUCAGGUUGAAGGCACGGUAACACGUGCUGGAGGACCGAACCCACUAAUGUUGAAAAAUUAGGGGAUGAACUGUGGAUAGGGGUGAAAGGCUAAACAAGCUUGGAAAUAGCUGGUUCUCUCCGAAAACUAUUUAGGUAGUGCCUCACGUAUUACUGCCGGGGGUAGAGCACUGUUAUAGCUAGGGGGUCAUGGCGACUUACCAACCUAUGGCAAACUCCGAAUACCGGCAAGUAGCAGCGUGGGAGACAGAGCACCGGGUGCUAACGUCCGGACUCAAGAGGGAAACAACCCAGACCGCCAGCUAAGGUCCCUAACUAUGGCUAAGUGGGAAACGAAGUGGGAAGGCAUUGACAGUCAGGAGGUUGGCUUAGAAGCAGCCAUCCUUUAAAGAAAGCGUAAUAGCUCACUGAUCGAGUCGUCCUGCGCGGAAGAUGUAACGGGGCUAAGCCAUAGACCGAAGCUGCGGAUAGGCAUUCUUAGGAAUGUCUGUGGUAGGAGAGCGUUCUGUAAGCCUGCGAAGGCAGAUUGUGAAGUCUGCUGGAGGUAUCAGAAGUGCGAAUGCUGACAUGAGUAGCGAUAAAGGGGGUGAAAAGCCCCCUCGCCGUAAGUCCAAGGUUUCCUGCGCAACGUUCAUCGGCGCAGGGUGAGUCGGCCCCUAAGGCGAGGCAGAGAUGCGUAGCUGAUGGGAAGCUGGUUAAUAUUCCAGCACCGUCGUAGAAUGCGAUGGGGGGACGGAUGGCAGAAGGUCAUCGGGGUGUUGGAAGUCCCCGUUGCUGCACUAUAGAAGGCGCUUCAGGCAAAUCCGGGCGCGGAAUUCAAGGGUGUGGCUGGAUAGGGCUUAGGUCCUAAACUGAUUGGAAGCUGUUCCAAGAAAAGCCUCUAAGCUUUAAGUUCUACGAGACCGUACCGCAAACCGACACAGGUGGACGGGAUGAAUAUUCCAAGGCGCUUGAGAGAACUCAGGAGAAGGAACUCGGCAAAUUAAUACCGUAACUUCGGGAGAAGGUAUACCCCGGUAGUGUGAAGGGCUU
This 1180-nucleotide non-coding RNA is filed under the name Pollutimonas bauzanensis. RNAcentral describes it as "Alcaligenaceae bacterium BZ59 Bacterial large subunit ribosomal RNA". It matches the Rfam family "Bacterial large subunit ribosomal RNA", at positions 589 to 1770 of the family's 2925-position model. Lineage: Bacteria; Pseudomonadati; Pseudomonadota; Betaproteobacteria; Burkholderiales; Alcaligenaceae. The record is from Rfam by way of RNAcentral.